This 3301-nucleotide long non-coding RNA is filed under the name Brassica napus (rape). RNAcentral describes it as "long non-coding RNA (BNAP_LNC018390)". The record is from RNAcentral. Lineage: Eukaryota; Viridiplantae; Streptophyta; Magnoliopsida; Brassicales; Brassicaceae.
UGGUUUAGUUGCUGGGCGAAAUGAGCCUUUUUCAGCCCAAAGAAAAAUUCAUAACAAAUUCAAUUUGGGUCGGUUUUACACCAAAUUCGACCAGACCUUUCCUCAGUCCAUUUCAAGCCCAUUAUCAUCAAGAAUGCCAAGAGGGAGUCAGCAAGGAAGUCUUGGUCGUGCAUGGGAAAAAGAAUUCAACAAAAAUCAUUAAUUUCGGUCUUUAGUCAAAGUCUUCAUUUCUAGUUUCCAUGUCUUGUUUUUAGCACAUUCUUCUUUGGAUUUCUACAACUUGUAAUCCUAUAUAUAGGGCCUAAGAGCCACGAAAUAAUAUAAGCUUUUUCCCCUUUUAUUUGAGUUUAUCUAUUUGUUCUUUGUAGAACACUUCUUUGUUUCUUGGUGAGGUUAUCUCCGAGUAAACAGCCUCUAAUUCGUUGGACCUGUGCGUCAUAUCAGGCAACGUUUAGAAAUCCUUCUUUUGGUGGACUUGUGAGUCAUAUCAAGCACCAACUGAAGUCUGGUAGUAUCAUUGGGCCAUCCGCAACCCAUUGUGUCACCGUUCAAUCCAUCAGUUCUCCCUUUUGGCGAGUUCAUAUCCCUUUAGUCCGGUCGAGUGAUCCUUCCCUAUUUUAGGGCGUAUCAAGUGGUAUCAGAGCCACUCAACCGGUACUAUCUAUCCAUCUUUCUCAUCUUUCAUUUCUAAACACUUCUUCUUCAUCUUUCUAUCUCAAAUCCGGGCCACUACCUUACCUAUCGCCAUUCUUCUAUAAAAAAAAAAAAGAGAAAAGAAAAGAAAAAAAAAAUAAUCUAUCAAAAAAAAAGAGAAAAGAAAACAAAAAGUUUGAUUUAUUUGGCUAGGUGGUGGAAGAGAAAUCCUGCUGGCUGAGGAGAAAUCCAGCCUUGGAGUGGUUAAUACGGAUUUCAAAACCAAUUCUCUUAUCUUUCUAUCUUGUGUUCAUCUCUUGCUUGCUUGGAGAAAUCCAUUGGGUUAUUUGAUUUGUUCUCUUAGAACUUUGAGAGGAAACUCUUGAGUGACCACUAAAAUCUGAGAGAAAUACUUGUGUGGGUGAAAUCAAACACUUGAGAGUGUGAGGAUUAUUUUUAUCUGUUAACCUUUUGUGUUGAGAAUUUUCAGGUUAAGAUCUUUGAAGCUGAUCAAAGAAAGCUUUUCAGUCAGUUUGAAGCCCAACAGUUUUGUGACAACCUUGUGGAGAGUGUGGUGAAAGCCCUCAAGGAUGUCAGCAAGAUCCAAAAGAAGAGCACAACCACACGUGCAUCUGUAGCUAAGCCUUCCUUAUUCAUCAAUGAAAAACCCAAAGGUAAACCUGAAAACAACCUUGCAGAUCAAAAAGAUUUUUCAGAUUCUUUACCAAUUUUUGAUGAGUAUGAUGAAGAGACGAUUGAAAGUUUGAUCAUUUGUGAGGAUGAAUGUGAUCUUCCAUCUCCAAAAUCUGAUUUUAUGUUUGAUGAUGAAGAGACUAAUGGACUAACCUGUUUUGAACCGGAGCAUCCGAGUAGUCUUGUUCUAUUUUCACCGGAUUUUAAGGAAGAACCAUUCGACUACUCACAUCAAGGACUGCUUCUUGGCACCAAGAGACCCAUGGACGAUGAUCUAGGUCCCAUAUUUGAUGAGGAAGGCGAACCUGGUCCAACCUUUGAAGCGGAAGCACCAAGCGUAACAUCCAUCAUCAUGGAGAACCAACUUUGCUUUGAUCCCGGCACAGCUCCUACACCUUUGUUCAAAGAGCACUGUAAGGAACUUUGUAUCAUCAGUUCUGUGCCUGAUCUGUUUGAUAAAGUCAGUUCCAAUGACAUAAAACUUUCUGGUCUUGAUCAUCUUGAAAAGUCAUUUGAGCUUGAUUUGCAACAACUAGUUUUCUGCUCUAGAAAAUCGUUUGAUUCAUUUGUCUUCAAAGAAAAUAGCUUUAGUCUGAGAUCUUAUGGACAUGAACUGAUCACUGGAAUUUUGUUUGCAUCCUCAUAUGCUUUGGAAGAUUUUAUGGUUAGCACAUUGCUGGAACAGAAUUCACAUAAAGCUGAAACCGAUUUUUGUGGUGAUUCUGUUUUGAAACCUGUCCAUUCUUAUUCUGAAUCUGAUCUUGAACUAAAACUUUUGUGUUCUGAAUCUGAUCAAGUUAGGCACGUUUUGGAAAUGUUCUAUGGUAGUUCAUGCCUCGAAAACAUUCUGAUUUACAACACCUUCUUUGAUAAACAUGCUGAGCCUUGGAUAAGAAAUUCUCAAUUUGAACUUAAUCUUUUGUGUUCUAAAUCUGAGAAACUUGCGCAUGAUUUGAAUUUGUUCUUUAGGAACUGUGCUAUCACGUGCCCUGACACCAUUCUGGUGUACAAGACUUACUUUGAUAGGCUUCAUGAUGAUCUGAAACGUGUGCUACAUGUUCUAGGGAAAGAAACUUUGGUUUAUGAUCUGAACAAGUACUUGUCUUGUACAUAUGAUCCUGGUAUUUUAAUGUUUGUUUUGAGUGUCCAGGAUAAACAGGAUCAGUCUCCAAGAGGUGUCAGGAACAGAAGCAGAGAUCGUGCUUAUCAGUUUAAGACUUGGAGAUGCAUGUACUCGAGGAAACCAACUUCAAAACUCCAAGGAAGUUUCUUUCCAAAAUUUUCCUUCACUAAAUUUUACAUGAUUUUUAAAUUCUUUUUGUCUGAUUCAUUUCCUUUUGAUACAGGUAAAAUGGAUUUGAGGUCAAAUCCUUUUCAAGAGGGAGGGAAUGAUGCGCCUCGGAUCAUAGACCCGGGCCAGGAUGAUGCGACCAUGGCUGAGCCAGAUGAUUCUUCAACAAAAGACAAACCAGGAUGGAUUAAUGGUGAGGAUACUGAUCUAAAACCAGCUGAUGAGACUGAGGACGAGCUGGAACCAGCUGAAGAGAGUAUGCUUGAGCUGAAACCAGCUGAAGUGAUAGUAGAUGAGCUAGAUGAGCUGAGUGAGCUAAGUGAUACUAGCUUGGAGCUGAAUGAGCUAAGUGACACUGAAGAUGGAGCUGGUUUAGUUGCUGGGCGAAAUGAGCAUUUUUCAGCCCAAAGAAAAAUUCAUAACAAAUUCAAUUUGGGUCGGUUUUACACCAAAUUCGACCAGACCUUUCCUCAGUCCAUUUCAAGCCCAUUCUCAUCAAGAAUGCCAAGAGGGAGUCAGCAAGGAAGUCUUGGUCGUGCAUGGGAAAAAGAAUUCAACAAAAAUCAUUAAUUUCGGUCUUUAGUCAAAGUCUUCAUUUCUAGUUUCUAUGUCUUGUUUUUAGCACAUUCUUCUUUGGAUUUCUACAACUUGUAAUCCUAUAUAUAGGGCCUAAGAACCACGAAG